RNAcentral lists this unclassified non-coding RNA (333 nucleotides) under soil metagenome. RNAcentral's name for it is "partial contains 5.8S ribosomal RNA, internal transcribed spacer 2, and large subunit ribosomal RNA". The stretch from base 1 to 120 matches the Rfam family "5.8S ribosomal RNA", at positions 35 to 154 of the family's 154-position model. The record is from RNAcentral.
GAUGAAGAACGUAGCGAAAUGCGACAAGUAAUGUGAAUUGCAGAAUUCAGUGAAUCAUCGAAUCUUUGAACGCACAUUGCGCCCGCCAGUAUUCUGGCGGGCAUGCCUGUUCGAGCGUCAUUUCAACCAUCAAGCCCCCGGCUUGUGUUGGGGACCUGCGGCUGCCGCAGGCCCUGAAAUGCAGUGGCGGGCUCGCUGUCACUCCGAGCGUAGUAGUUACAUCUCGCUCUGGGCGUGCUGCGGGUUCCGGCCGUUAAAAGCCUUAUUUACCCAAGGUUGACCUCGGAUCAGGUAGGAAGACCCGCUGAACUUAAGCAUAUCAUAAGCGGAGGA